AGAGUUUGAUCCUGGCUCAGAUUGAACGCUGGCGGCAUGCUUUACACAUGCAAGUCGAACGGCAGCACGGGUGCUUGCACCUGGUGGCGAGUGGCGUACGGGUGAGUAAUGCACCGGAACGUACCCAGUAAUGGGGGAUAACACAUCGAAAGAUGUGCUAAUACCGCAUACGCCCUGAGGGGGAAAGCGGGGGAUCGUAAGACCUCGCGUUAUUGGAGCGGCCGGUGCCGGAUUAGCUAGUUGGUGAGGUAAGAGCUCACCAAGGCGACGAUCCGUAGCUGGUCUGAGAGGACGACCAGCCACACUGGGACUGAGACACGGCCCAGACUCCUACGGGAGGCAGCAGUGGGGAAUUUUGGACAAUGGGCGCAAGCCUGAUCCAGCCAUGCCGCGUGAGUGAAGAAGGCCUUCGGGUUGUAAAGCUCUUUCGCAAGGAAAGAAAACUUAUCUACUAA
RNAcentral lists this ribosomal RNA (455 nucleotides) under uncultured bacterium. Its description in RNAcentral is "bacterial SSU rRNA". It matches the Rfam family "Bacterial small subunit ribosomal RNA", at positions 8 to 463 of the family's 1533-position model. The record is from RNAcentral.